Long non-coding RNA from Corvus hawaiiensis (hawaiian crow), 1445 nucleotides. RefSeq lists it as uncharacterized. NCBI's taxonomy places the organism in Eukaryota, Metazoa, Chordata, Aves, Passeriformes, Corvidae. The transcript has 2 exons. The record is from RefSeq and is a predicted model, not a curated record.
CCGCGCCUCUGGAGCGCUCCCGCCGCCCGCUCGGAGGCGGCGGCUGGUUUGGGUUUUGUUUCGGGGUAUUUUUUGCUGCCGUUUGGAUUUCUCUCUUUCUCUUUUUCCCACUCCCUUUCCCCUUUUUGGGGAUCUUUUUCGGGUUUUUUUUGGGUUGGGAUCGGGUAUUGUGGGCGCAGGGAGGUUGUGCCGUCGCUCCUGGAAGUCGGUUUCCCCUUCUUUCUUCUCACCUCAGCCCCCAGACAUUAAUGGAUGCGGGGCAGGAGGGAGCGAGCCUAGUCCUGGGAGGAGGAGAGGGGAGGAGGCUGCCGAGGAGGGAGGGCGUAGGGGAUGGCUUGCCGGGCCUUAGGAAACACAGUGAAAAGGCUGGGGCUCAGUCCCAGGGAGGGCGGCCUUCCUCCCCGCCUUAUAGCGAGGGGGCCAUCACAUGGCUCCCAGCGUCAGAGCGCGGUGGGGGGAGCGGCGCCGUGUCUCCCCCCACCAAGAAAGGCGCCUCGCCACCGUCCCGGCCUCCCCGGCCUCACCCUAUCCAGGAGGGGCUCGGGGGGGUGGGCUUCGGGGAGACCGGUGCCAUCUUUGUUGGAAAAGGGGAGAAAUAAAGGUAACACUUGACUCUCCCGGAAAAAAAAAAAAAAAAAAAAAAAAAGUGCAAGUCUGUCGCAAAGUGCAGGAGCAUCUUCCCAGAAACCGUUCGGAAGGUCUAGGAGCUUCGCAUCUUCCGGGGCUGCCCUCAGAGACGGGGUGCUGCUUGCCGUGGAAAGGAAGGGGGGAAAAAAUCAGAUCGGAGAGGGAGAUGGUGAUCUAUGCGACGACAGAAGACCGGGGCCCCCUUUAUGUAAGGCAGGGGGAAAAAAAGGCAACAAAAACUCCAGCAAAGAAUCCAAACAAAAUAAAACCCCCACAAAUUUGGACAGAAAUGCAAUUACCAAGGUCUUAAAAAGAAAGGCUUUGAAAAAGCCCAUCGUUCCCAGUUCUGGCAGGAUAAACCACACUCAGGAUCCGACUGGGAUAGGAGCAAGGGAGCAUUUCGUUCUUCGGCAGAAAUCGUCGUGAGAAGGGCAGACUGAUACAUAAAGUCUUAUUGAUCACAUCCCUCUUUUCAAACAACUCACACACCCAAUUUCUUGAAAUACGUUUUCAAUAUAUUGUCCUAACCCAAAGCUACAAGCCACCCUGUUUCAAACCCAGCUCCAUCGAUUUACAACAUAAUCCUUUCUACUAUUUCCAAAUAAUCCUAUUUACAUUUUGCUCACUACUAAGGAGCCUGCAAGACAAUACCACCAAAAGCUACAAAACAGGGAAAAAAAAAAAGAAAAAAAGAAGAUGGAAAACCCCCCCAAACCUCUAGAUCCAGCAACUGACCACUUUUUUUUUUUUUCUUUAGAUAAAUAGACAUCACUCGAGAUUUACAGUUCAUACAGUUAAUAAAAUCUCUCUUCAAAUUA